RNAcentral lists this ribosomal RNA (1235 nucleotides) under metagenome. Its description in RNAcentral is "bacterial LSU rRNA". It matches the Rfam family "Bacterial large subunit ribosomal RNA", at positions 1564 to 2808 of the family's 2925-position model. The record is from RNAcentral.
CGAGUCCGAGGAGCUAAGGCUCCAAAGUGAUGCGAGUCAGACUUCCCAGUAAAGCCCGAACCACGUUAAUUUCUAAUUACCUGUACCCGAAACCGACACAGGUGGGUAGGUAGAGUAUACUAAGGGGCGCGAGAUAACUCUCUCUAAGGAACUCGGCAAAAUGACUCCGUAACUUCGGGAGAAGGAGUGCCUUAUUUAUAAGGUUGCAAUAACAAGAUCCAAGCAACUGUUUAUCAAAAACACAGGUCUCCGCUAAGUCGUAAGACGAUGUAUGGGGGCUGACGCCUGCCCAGUGCCAGAAGGUUAAAGAAGUUGGUUAGUGUAUGCGAAGCUGAUGACUGAAGCCCUGGUGAACGGCGGCCGUAACUAUAACGGUCCUAAGGUAGCGAAAUUCCUUGUCGGGUAAGUUCCGACCCGCACGAAAGGCGUAAUGAUUUGGAUACUGUCUCGGAGAGAGGCUCGGUGAAAUAGACUUGUCUGUGAAGAUGCGGACUACCUGCACCAGGACAGAAAGACCCUAUGAAGCUUUACUGUAACUUGAAAUUGGAAUUGGACUUUGCUUGCGCAGUAUAGGUGGGAAGCGUUGAAGAUAUUCUUGCGGGAGUAUUGGAGCUAUCAGUGAGAUACCACUCUUGUAAUGUUAGAUUUCUAACUUUGAACCAUAAUCUGGUCAAAGAACAGUUUCAGGUGGGCAGUUUGACUGGGGCGGUCGCCUCCCAAAUGGUAACGGAGGCGUACAAAGGUUUCCUCUGAACGGAUAGAAAUCGUAUCUAGAGUGUAAAGGCAUAAGGAAGCUUGACUGUGAGACCUACAAGUCGAGCAGGGACGAAAGUCGGUCUUAGUGAUCUGACGGUACUGAGUGGAAAGGCCGUCACUCAACGGAUAAAAGUUACUCUAGGAUAACAGGCUGAUCUCCCCCAAGAGUUCACAUCGACGGGGAGGUUUGGCACCUCGAUGUCGGCUCAUCGCAUCCUGGGGCGGUAGUACGUCCCAAGGGUUGGGCUGUUCGCCCAUGAAAGCGGUACGCGAGCUGGGUUCAGAACGUCGUGAGACAGUUCGGUCCAUAUCCGGUGUAGGCGUUAGAAUAUUGAGAGGAGCCUUCUUUAGUACGAGAGGACCGAGAAGGACACACCGCUGGUGUACCAGUUAUCGUGCCAACGGUAAACGCUGGGUAGCUAUGUGAGGAGUGGAUAACCGCUUAAAGCAUCUAAGUGGGAAGCCCACCUCAAGAUGAG